CUUAUCUAGAGUGGUGGAGGGACUGGCCCUAUGAAACCCGGCAACCUGUGUAUUAAUACAAGGUGCUAAAUCCUACAGUAUCUUAUGCUGAAAGAUGAG
Molecule: non-coding RNA, 99 nt
Filed under: uncultured Cellulosilyticum sp.
Lineage: Bacteria; Bacillati; Bacillota; Clostridia; Lachnospirales; Cellulosilyticaceae
Description: SAM riboswitch (S box leader)
Rfam family: SAM riboswitch aptamer (S box leader)
About the family: The SAM riboswitch is found upstream of a number of genes which code for proteins involved in methionine or cysteine biosynthesis in Gram-positive bacteria. The SAM riboswitch acts at the level of transcription termination control.
Source: RNAcentral